RNAcentral lists this long non-coding RNA (322 nucleotides) under Setaria italica (foxtail millet). RNAcentral's name for it is "long non-coding RNA (SITA_LNC005408)". The record is from RNAcentral. Lineage: Eukaryota; Viridiplantae; Streptophyta; Magnoliopsida; Poales; Poaceae.
UUUUUUUAAGCUCAAAAGCUCGCCACUUUAUUCAUUCACCUAUAGUUCAGUGAGACCACGAACCACCAGCAAGUUUACAAACUCAUGAGCACACCUAGUCUAUUACAUGAUCGAUGAGCAUACAUAAUGUUCACAGAAUAAAAAUGCGUAGAUAUAAAGAACUUGGCAUCCCUGAACAGCACACCUCCUGGUGCAAGAUCGUAAUCGCCUGAUUGCAGUGCCUCUGCGAGAACUUUGGGAAUCUGUUUCUAGACUGACGCUUGCAUGCCUUGGUGAGGCACCUCCUAGCAUCCCCUCCACUCUCCAGCUAGCCAACGAGCCU